This 373-nucleotide ribosomal RNA is filed under the name uncultured bacterium. Its description in RNAcentral is "bacterial SSU rRNA". It matches the Rfam family "Bacterial small subunit ribosomal RNA", at positions 362 to 757 of the family's 1533-position model. The record is from RNAcentral.
UCUUGCGCAAUGGGCGAAAGCCUGACGCAGCCAUGCCGCGUGAAUGAUGAAGGUCUUAGGCUUGUAAAGUUCUUUUGCCCGUGACGAUGAUGACGGUAACGGGAGAAUAAGCCCCGGCUAACUUCGUGCCAGCAGCCGCGGUAAUACGAAGGGGGCUAGCGUUGUUCGGAAUUACUGGGCGUAAAGCGCGCGUAGGCGGUUUUGCGAGCCAGAGGUGAAAUGCCUGAGCUUAACUUAGGAAUUGCCUUUGGGACUGUGAGGCUUUGAGGACGAGAGAGGUGAGUGGAAUUCCCAGUGUAGAGGUGAAAUUCGUAGAUAUUGGGAAGAACACCGGGGCGAAGGGGCUCACGGCUCGUUCGACGCUUAGCGCGAA